UUGUAAGUUUUAGUGCAAGAUAGGUGCACAGUUUGCACCUAAUGCACCAUAGUCUAAGAAACCAUUUUGGACGCACUAUUUGGUACUCCUGGGUGAAGAGGCUCAAGUGAAAGCUUGGUUCGGUCAGUUUGGAGAUAGUGCUAAUCCUUAUGCAAGAUAGGCGCACGAUUUACAUGGAACAUGUCAUAUGCUCAUAAAUCAAUUUGGAUGCACCC
This 215-nucleotide long non-coding RNA is filed under the name Sorghum bicolor (sorghum). RNAcentral describes it as "long non-coding RNA (SBIC_LNC018550)". The record is from RNAcentral. Lineage: Eukaryota; Viridiplantae; Streptophyta; Magnoliopsida; Poales; Poaceae.